This 285-nucleotide long non-coding RNA is filed under the name Gallus gallus (chicken). Lineage: Eukaryota; Metazoa; Chordata; Aves; Galliformes; Phasianidae. The record is from RNAcentral.
CACAGGUUAACAAGUCGGGGUCUGUCCCACCUGCAGCGAUGCUGAUGCCACCCGGCUCUGCUAUUGCCAGGCUCUCAUCCUCGUCGGCGAGUGCCGGUUCCACAUGGUCAGCCUGUGUGAUAAUCUCUCUUUGUGACAAGUGCUGCGGGUUUCCCUGCUUGCGACGGGACAUUGCCCUGGCAUUUACACUGGCAUCGCCUGGAGAGCUGCACUGGUCUGGGGGCUGCGUUGGGGGCCGGUCCUCCUCCUCUGCUUUUUUUGCGUCUUUUCUUCUUCUUCUUCUUG